AUCGUUUUCUUUGAAAUUCCCCUUUCUUACCCUUUCCUCUGUUUGGCUUUGAUUUUAAAAAACAAAAGAAUCGAUUGCCUCUUCUUCAUGUGUGGGUAUGAUCUCGAUAAGGUAGCAGAACUAAUACUUUGGGAACUCAUUUUGAUUGGUAGUACUGCUAUAGAAGACAAACUUCAAGGAGUACCAGAUUGUAUUGAGACUUUCUAGAGCUGGAAUCAAGAU
This 222-nucleotide unclassified non-coding RNA is filed under the name Hevea brasiliensis (rubber tree). Lineage: Eukaryota; Viridiplantae; Streptophyta; Magnoliopsida; Malpighiales; Euphorbiaceae. The record is from RNAcentral.